UACGGAGGGUGCGAGCGUUGUCCGGAAUCAUUGGGCGUAAAGGGCUCGUAGGCGGCCAACUAAGUCCGACGUGAAAUCCCCAGGCUUAACCUGGGAACUGCGUCGGAUACUGGAUGGCUUGAAUUCGGGAGAGGGAUGCAGAAUUCCAGGUGUAGCGGUGAAAUGCGUAGAUAUCUGGAGGAAUACCGGUGGCGAAGGCGGCAUCCUGGACCGACAUUGACGCUGAUGAGCGAAAGCUAGGGGAGCAAACGGG
RNAcentral lists this ribosomal RNA (253 nucleotides) under uncultured bacterium. Its description in RNAcentral is "partial 16S ribosomal RNA". It matches the Rfam family "Bacterial small subunit ribosomal RNA", at positions 524 to 776 of the family's 1533-position model. The record is from RNAcentral.